GAUGAAGAACGUAGUGAAAUGCGAUAAGUAAUGUGAAUUGCAGAAUUCAGUGAAUCAUCGAAUCUUUGAACGCACAUUGCGCCCGCCAGUAUUCUGGCGGGCAUGCCUGUCUGAGCGUCAUUUCAACCCUCAUGCCCCUAGGGCGUGGUGUUGGGGAUCGGCCAAAGCCCGCGAGGGACGGCCGGCCCCUAAAUCUAGUGGCGGACCCGUCGUGGCCUCCUCUGCGAAGUAGUGAUAUUCCGCAUCGGAGAGCGAUGAGCCCCUGCCGUUAAACCCCCAACUUUCCAAGGUUGACCUCAGAUCAGGUAGGAAUACCCGCUGAACUUAAGCAUAUCAAAAGCGGAGGA
RNAcentral lists this unclassified non-coding RNA (347 nucleotides) under soil metagenome. Its description in RNAcentral is "partial contains 5.8S ribosomal RNA, internal transcribed spacer 2, and large subunit ribosomal RNA". The stretch from base 1 to 120 matches the Rfam family "5.8S ribosomal RNA", at positions 35 to 154 of the family's 154-position model. The record is from RNAcentral.